UUCGCUUGCAAGCUUCGUUGCGUUCGCACGCCUUUUUCUGGCUCCCGUUGUCUCGCGUUCCGUCGUUGCUCUGGUGCCCUGGACUGCUGUGAAUGUGUUUUUAUGCCCUACUAGUGUUGCCUGGGGGUGCUUUUAUGUGUGCACCCUGGAAGAUAGGUCCAGAAGCCUUGCGAUUUCUUAGAUUAAAGGUUAGUUCUAUGUUUGUACGAUUCGUGCAACUUUUGUUUGGUAUCAUUCCUAGCGUGUGGGUUCUAUUACUUUAUGCUAGCAGUGUGAUUAUUACCCUUUUGAUUCCUAUUACCCUAUGCUUUAUCUUUCAGCUAAGUGUACUCGUGACCCUACCAGCACUUUUCAAGAUACUUUCGACGUAUUCAUUGCGGUGAACAACGCGGUUGGGACAGCACACUCACGACGUGGGAAGGUCACAGAAAUGUUGAAAGACAUCAGAUGUGUGGAAACGUCGUAGCGGAUGAAUGUGAAUUAUGGAUCUCCAAGUGGCGUCGCCCGCGUCAUUUUCAAGAUUUUACCCGUUUUGAAGGCAAUAGGGCUGUUGAUAGGGAGAAUGCUAAGCUACUGCAGACUGCAACCAUAGGCGCUGUGUCUAAAGGUUAAGCUCACAUGACGCGGCAGGGAAGGGAGUCCAUGGCGAAAAG
Molecule: long non-coding RNA, 653 nt
Organism: Ornithodoros turicata
Lineage: Eukaryota; Metazoa; Arthropoda; Arachnida; Ixodida; Argasidae
Exons: 5
Source: RefSeq, a predicted model, not a curated record